This 494-nucleotide ribosomal RNA is filed under the name uncultured bacterium. RNAcentral describes it as "partial 16S ribosomal RNA". It matches the Rfam family "Bacterial small subunit ribosomal RNA", at positions 28 to 507 of the family's 1533-position model. The record is from RNAcentral.
GACGAACGCUGGCGGCGUGCUUAACACAUGCAAGUCGAACGGAAAGGCCUGCUUUCCCUUGUGGAUUGCGGGUGCUCGAGUGGCGAACGGGUGAGUAACACGUGAGUGAUCUGCCCCCAACUUGGGUAUAAGCCUGGGAAACUGGGUCUAAUUCCCGAUAGGACUGCAGGGUGGUGCCUGUGGUGGAAAACGAUUUUCUAGUGGUUGGGGAUGAGCUCGCGGCCUAUCAGCUUGUUGGUGGGGUAAUGGCCUACCAAGGCGGCGACGGGUAGCCGGCCUGAGAGGGUGGACGGCCACAUUGGGACUGAGAUACGGCCCAGACUCCUACGGGAGGCAGCAGUGGGGAAUAUUGCACAAUGGGCGGAAGCCUGAUGCAGCGACGCCGCGUGGGGGAUGACGGCCUUCGGGUUGUAAACUCCUUUCGACCGCGACGAAGCCACCUGGUUGGAAGGGUGGUGACGGUAGUGGUAGAAGAAGCACCGGCUAACUACGUG